This 210-nucleotide long non-coding RNA is filed under the name Elaeis guineensis (African oil palm). RNAcentral describes it as "long non-coding RNA (EGUI_LNC006455)". The record is from RNAcentral. Lineage: Eukaryota; Viridiplantae; Streptophyta; Magnoliopsida; Arecales; Arecaceae.
UCCAGUCCUGGCCUGGUUAGGAUGUAGGUUACACAAUCCGUACCAGAAUUUGGUCCACAUGGGUCCAAUCUGAUGAAUAUUGAUCGAUGCAUAUUUCAAACAAGUGUAGCAGGGGGCGGGUUUAGUUUUCAUAUCCUAAAAUCAGGCAAAAAAAGCAAUGCUAUGCUAAGCUUCUGGUCGUCUGCUGAUGCAGCCUGACUAUGUGGACAA